Molecule: ribosomal RNA, 253 nt
Filed under: uncultured bacterium
Lineage: Bacteria
Description: partial 16S ribosomal RNA
Rfam family: Bacterial small subunit ribosomal RNA
Source: RNAcentral
UACGUAGGGUCCGAGCGUUGUCCGGAAUUACUGGGCGUAAAGAGCUCGUUGGUGGUUUGUCGCGUUGUUCGUGAAAACUCACAGCUCAACUGUGGGCGUGCGGGCGAUACGGGCAGACUUGAGUACUGCAGGGGAGACUGGAAUUCCUGGUGUAGCGGUGGAAUGCGCAGAUAUCAGGAGGAACACCGGUGGCGAAGGCGGGUCUCUGGGCAGUAACUGACGCUGAGGAGCGAAAGCGUGGGGAGCGAACAGG